GCCUGGGUGGCUCAGUUGGUUGAGCAUCUGACUUCGGUUCAGGUCAUGAUCUCACUGAUCGUGGGUUCAAGCCCCACAUCGGGCU
This 85-nucleotide transfer RNA is filed under the name Felis catus (domestic cat). It matches the Rfam family "tRNA". Rfam says of the family: Transfer RNA (tRNA) molecules are approximately 80 nucleotides in length. Their secondary structure includes four short double-helical elements and three loops (D, anti-codon, and T loops). Lineage: Eukaryota; Metazoa; Chordata; Mammalia; Carnivora; Felidae. The record is from Rfam by way of RNAcentral.